This 626-nucleotide small RNA is filed under the name Malus domestica (apple). RNAcentral's name for it is "sRNA MD08G0148100". The record is from RNAcentral. Lineage: Eukaryota; Viridiplantae; Streptophyta; Magnoliopsida; Rosales; Rosaceae.
UGUCAUUCACUCUCUCUCUUCCCUCACGACUCUCUCUCACUCUCAGUUCUCUCUCUCUUCCUCUCCGACGCUCAACCUCACCCAAAACCACCUAAAACAUAAACAAACGGCCAAGAUAAGACCACAUUUGGACUCCUGGAACUUCCACAAUCACGUAGACAUCAAUUUCAGCUUAAAACAAGAUCACAGUGAGCUUAAGGAAGUCCCAAGGAAGCUCGGAGUGCUUCGUUGGAAGUUUUUGGACGUAAGAACACGGAGAUCGACAAGUUCAAAGUUUGGCCGGAGCUUUCGAGGCUCUUUCCGGCGAAUCCCCGGCGAGUUAGGAGUCGAGUUUCCGGCGACCUCCGAGGCUUUCGAGGCAGUUUCCGGCCAAACCACGGCGAACUAGGUGUUGUGCAAGGCGGCGAUCGUCGUGACGCCUUGAUGUGUGGUGCUAGGGAGUUGUUGGACGAACUCCAGGUUAAAGAAUAGCUUAGGUGUGGUGGCUACGAGGAAUUCGACGGUGUUCUGACAGAUUGGACAAAAUUAGGACUCCCUUCGGGUGUAUCAACUUAUAAAUUGUAUCUUAAAGCUUCCGUACUGUGCAAAUGGUUACGUCACUCUCACGUGACGGCCAGCAUGCCCUC